UUGCGGAGUUCAGCCGGCCCGGCCCCCGGGCCACCGGGAGGUCCCGCGCUAGGUGACUGCGCGCCGGAGCCAGAGCGCAGGAGGCGCGGAGAGGAGAGACGGGACGCGGGGAGCCGGGGGUCUGGAGCAGGAUUUCAGGUGGACCUCUCAACUUCUACUGAAACAGUAUCUGGGUGAUACCGUACCUGUGGAGAAAGUCACACCCAUUUUAUCCAGAUUCAGCUACAAUAAAGGUUGGGCUCCUUCGAUUCCCCAUUGAUGAAUUGUUCCUUCUGAGCCAUCGGGAACUGGGAUGAAGCCACCUGUCAUUCCCCCAAUAGGACCUGUCCCGCAGUCACAGCCCCUGUACAUGGUUGUAUAUCUUAGUUAUGAGUCCUUCU
Equus caballus (horse) is the source of this 380-nucleotide non-coding RNA. Lineage: Eukaryota; Metazoa; Chordata; Mammalia; Perissodactyla; Equidae. The record is from RefSeq and is a predicted model, not a curated record.